This 421-nucleotide ribosomal RNA is filed under the name uncultured bacterium. RNAcentral describes it as "bacterial SSU rRNA". It matches the Rfam family "Bacterial small subunit ribosomal RNA", at positions 362 to 776 of the family's 1533-position model. The record is from RNAcentral.
UCUUCCGCAAUGGGCGAAAGCCUGACGGAGCGACGCCGCGUGAGCGAUGAAGGCCUUCGGGUUGUAAAGCUCUGUGGGGAGGAAAGAAUAAGUUCAGGCCAAUACCCUGAAUGAUGACGGUACCUCCUUAGCAAGCACCGGCUAACUCUGUGCCAGCAGCCGCGGUAAGACAGAGGGUGCAAACGUUGUUCGGAUUUACUGGGCGUAAAGCGCGUGUAGGCGGCUUUGCAAGUCGGAUGUGAAAGCCCACGGCUCAACCGUGGAAGCGCAUCCGAAACUGCAUCGCUCGAGUCUCGGAGAGGAAGGUGGAAUGCUUGGUGUAGAGGUGAAAUUCGUAGAUAUCAAGCAGAACACCUGCGGCGAAGGCGGCCUUCUGGACGAUGACUGACGCUGAGACGCGAAAGCGUGGGGAGCAAACAGG